GACGAACGCUGGCGGCGUGCUUAACACAUGCAAGUCGAACGGAAAGGCCCUUCGGGGUACUCGAGUGGUUAACGGGUGAGUAACACGUGGGUGAUCUGCCCUGCACUUUGGGAUAAGCCUGGGAAACUGGGUCUAAUACCGAAUAGGACCACGCGCUUCAUGGUGUGUGGUGGAAAGCUUUUGCGGUGUGGGAUGGGCCCGCGGCCUAUCAGCUUGUUGGUGGGGUAAUGGCCUACCAAGGCGACGACGGGUAGCCGGCCUGAGAGGGUGACCGGCCACACUGGGACUGAGAUACGGCCCAGACUCCUACGGGAGGCAGCAGUGGGGAAUAUUGCACAAUGGGCGCAAGCCUGAUGCAGCGACGCCGCGUGAGGGAUGACGGCCUUCGGGUUGUAAACCUCUUUCAAUAGGGACGAAGCGCAAGUGACGGUACCUAUAGAAGAAGCACCGGCCAACUACGUGCCAGCAGCCGCGGUAAUACGUAGGGUGCGAGCGUUGUCCGGAAUUACUGGGCGUAAAGAGCUCGUAGGUGGUUUGUCGCGUUGUUCGUGAAAACUCACAGCUUAACUGUGGGCGUGCGGGCGAUACGGGCAGACUAGAGUACUGCAGGGGAGACUGGAAUUCCUGGUGUAGCGGUGGAAUGCGCAGAUAUCAGGAGGAACACCGGUGGCGAAGGCGGGUCUCUGGGCAGUAACUGACGCUGAGGAGCGAAAGCGUGGGGAGCGAACAGGAUUAGAUACCCUGGUAGUCCACGCCGUAAACGGUGGGUACUAGGUGUGGGUUCCUUCCUUGGGAUCCGUGCCGUAGCUAACGCAUUAAGUACCCCGCCUGGGGAGUACGGCCGCAAGGCUAAAACUCAAAGGAAUUGACGGGGGCCCGCACAAGCGGCGGAGCAUGUGGAUUAAUUCGAUGCAACGCGAAGAACCUUACCUGGGUUUGACAUGCACAGGACGCCGGCAGAGAUGUCGGUUCCCUUGUGGCCUGUGUGCAGGUGGUGCAUGGCUGUCGUCAGCUCGUGUCGUGAGAUGUUGGGUUAAGUCCCGCAACGAGCGCAACCCUUGUCCUAUGUUGCCAGCGGGUUAUGCCGGGGACUCGUAGGAGACUGCCGGGGUCAACUCGGAGGAAGGUGGGGAUGACGUCAAGUCAUCAUGCCCCUUAUGUCCAGGGCUUCACACAUGCUACAAUGGCCGGUACAAAGGGCUGCGAUGCCGUGAGGUGGAGCGAAUCCUUUCAAAGCCGGUCUCAGUUCGGAUCGGGGUCUGCAACUCGACCCCGUGAAGUCGGAGUCGCUAGUAAUCGCAGAUCAGCAACGCUGCGGUGAAAACGUUCCCGGGCCU
RNAcentral lists this ribosomal RNA (1337 nucleotides) under uncultured bacterium. RNAcentral describes it as "bacterial SSU rRNA". It matches the Rfam family "Bacterial small subunit ribosomal RNA", at positions 28 to 1381 of the family's 1533-position model. The record is from RNAcentral.